GGCCCAUUAGCUCAGUUGGUUAGAGCGUCAUGCUAAUAACACGAAGGUCGUAGGGUCGAGACCUGCAUGGGCCA
RNAcentral lists this transfer RNA (74 nucleotides) under Nicotiana tabacum (common tobacco). RNAcentral describes it as "tRNA-Ile (AAT) (tRNA-Ile-AAT-15-1)". Lineage: Eukaryota; Viridiplantae; Streptophyta; Magnoliopsida; Solanales; Solanaceae. The record is from RNAcentral.